Solanum lycopersicum (tomato) is the source of this 470-nucleotide non-coding RNA. The record is from RefSeq and is a predicted model, not a curated record. Lineage: Eukaryota; Viridiplantae; Streptophyta; Magnoliopsida; Solanales; Solanaceae.
GUUGCCCUCUAAUAGCUUCAGAAUCUUAAGGUUCGGAGCCUGUUCUCUAUUCGUAAAUUCAGGCCAACUCAAGCAAGUUAUGGAGAAGCAGAAUUUAGACUUGUACUGGAGGAAUAUUCAGAUUAUGCAAGAGAAUGACAGGCUAAGGAAGACUGCUCAACGACUCAGACAGGAGAAUGAAGCUUUGUAUUCUGAGCUUAAACAGAGACUAGCAGCAGCAAGAAAUAAUCAAAUACCUGAACUUGAACUCAGGCUUGGCCCCAGUCCUUCUGCAGAUCAAAUGAAACCCAAGAAUCCUCAGCCGCCUCCAUGCAGCUAAAGCUAUUCCAAGUGCCUCUUCUUGCUCUCGGUGAUCCAAGGUCAAGGUUACGGGAAAUUUUUAGUAUGAAUGUUGAUUGUAUUGCCGGAACUACAAACUAUCUAUUGUUUGAAACAAUAUGGUUUAUAGGAAUAAGAAGUUAAUUAAUAAA